GGCGGACGGGUGAGUAAUACAUGGGAAUCUGCCCUUAGGUGGGGGAUAACGUUGGGAAACUAACGCUAAUACCGCAUAAUCUCUUCGGAGCAAAGCGUGGGAUCUUCGGACCACGUGCCAAAGGAUGAGCCCAUGUCUGAUUAGCUAGUUGGUGAGGUAAUGGCUCACCAAGGCGACGAUCAGUAGCCGGCCUGAGAGGGUGGACGGCCACACUGGGACUGAGACACGGCCCAGACUCCUACGGGAGGCAGCAGUGGGGAAUAUUGGACAAUGGGGGCAACCCUGAUCCAGCAAUGCCGCGUGUGUGAAGAAGGCCUGCGGGUUGUAAAGCACUUUUGUUGAGGAAGAAUGUGUUUGGGCUAAUAGUCCAAAUGCUUGACGUUACUCAAAGAAAAAGCACCGGCUAACUCCGUGCCAGCAGCCGCGGUAAU
RNAcentral lists this ribosomal RNA (431 nucleotides) under uncultured bacterium. Its description in RNAcentral is "bacterial SSU rRNA". It matches the Rfam family "Bacterial small subunit ribosomal RNA", at positions 97 to 524 of the family's 1533-position model. The record is from RNAcentral.